RNAcentral lists this transfer RNA (70 nucleotides) under Mus musculus (house mouse). It matches the Rfam family "tRNA". Rfam says of the family: Transfer RNA (tRNA) molecules are approximately 80 nucleotides in length. Their secondary structure includes four short double-helical elements and three loops (D, anti-codon, and T loops). The record is from Rfam by way of RNAcentral. Lineage: Eukaryota; Metazoa; Chordata; Mammalia; Rodentia; Muridae.
GGGAGUGUAGCUCAGUGGAGAGUGCUUGCCUGGCGUGUACAGGCCCUGGGUUUGAUUCCCAGUAUCGCCA